CAGUCGCCGCGGUAAUACGUAGGUGGCGAGCGUUGUCCGGAUUUAUUGGGCGUAAAGGGAGUGUAGGCGGUCUUUUAAGUCUGAUGUGAAAGCCCACGGCUCAACCGUGGAGGGUCAUUGGAAACUGGGAGACUUGAGUGCAGAAGAGGAGAGCGGAAUUCCAUGUGUAGUGGUGAAAGGCGUAGAUAUAUGGAGGAACACCAGUGGCGAAGGCGGCUCUCUGGUCUGUAACUGACGCUGAGGCUCGAAAGCGUGGGGAGCAAACAGGAUUAGAUACCCCGGUAGUCCUGUCUCUUAUACC
RNAcentral lists this ribosomal RNA (301 nucleotides) under uncultured bacterium. Its description in RNAcentral is "partial 16S ribosomal RNA". It matches the Rfam family "Bacterial small subunit ribosomal RNA", at positions 509 to 808 of the family's 1533-position model. The record is from RNAcentral.